UACGUAGGGGGCAAGCGUUGUCCGGAAUCAUUGGGCGUAAAGCGCGUGUAGGUGGCUCGGUAAGUCCGCUGUGAAAGUCCAGGGCUCAACCCUGGAAAGCCGGUGGAAACUGUCGAGCUCGAGUCCGGAAGAGGCGAGUGGAAUUCCUGGUGUAGCGGUGAAAUGCGCAGAUAUCAGGAGGAACACCAAUGGCGAAGGCAGCUCGCUGGGACGGUACUGACACUGAGACGCGAAAGCGUGGGGAGCAAACAGG
This 253-nucleotide ribosomal RNA is filed under the name uncultured bacterium. Its description in RNAcentral is "partial 16S ribosomal RNA". It matches the Rfam family "Bacterial small subunit ribosomal RNA", at positions 524 to 776 of the family's 1533-position model. The record is from RNAcentral.